GCCUGGAUAGCUCAAUUGGUUAGAGCAUGGUGCUGAUAAUGCCAAGGUUGCAGGUUCAAUUCCCCAUAUGGGACA
RNAcentral lists this transfer RNA (75 nucleotides) under Podarcis lilfordi (Lilford's wall lizard). Its description in RNAcentral is "tRNA.Ile". It matches the Rfam family "tRNA". Rfam says of the family: Transfer RNA (tRNA) molecules are approximately 80 nucleotides in length. Their secondary structure includes four short double-helical elements and three loops (D, anti-codon, and T loops). Further hydrogen bonds mediate the characteristic L-shaped molecular structure. tRNAs have two regions of fundamental functional importance: the anti-codon, which is responsible for specific mRNA codon recognition, and the 3' end, to which the tRNAs corresponding amino acid is attached (by aminoacyl-tRNA synthetases). tRNAs cope with the degeneracy of the genetic code in two manners: having more than one tRNA (with a specific anti-codon) for a particular amino acid; and 'wobble' base-pairing, i.e. permitting non-standard base-pairing at the 3rd anti-codon position. Lineage: Eukaryota; Metazoa; Chordata; Lepidosauria; Squamata; Lacertidae. The record is from RNAcentral.